Molecule: transfer RNA, 95 nt
Filed under: Actinocatenispora thailandica
Lineage: Bacteria; Bacillati; Actinomycetota; Actinomycetes; Micromonosporales; Micromonosporaceae
Description: tRNA-Ser
Source: RNAcentral
UCCCGUCGUGGUGCGGCGGCGGCGCCGGUGGCCGCUGCUCGCCGCGGCGGCGGCCGUCGUCGCGCUGGCGGUGCUCGGUACCGCGGUCGGCAUCC